Salvia miltiorrhiza (redroot sage) is the source of this 1027-nucleotide long non-coding RNA. RefSeq lists it as uncharacterized. The record is from RefSeq and is a predicted model, not a curated record. The transcript has 2 exons. Lineage: Eukaryota; Viridiplantae; Streptophyta; Magnoliopsida; Lamiales; Lamiaceae.
CUAUGCUCCCCACCAUCUCCACUACCUUUGCUCCCCAUCAACUCCAACACUUCACCCAUUCCUUCCAUUUCGCACCAGCAAUCACAAAGAGAAGGAAGACUUGGCUUAACUACUUUGCCAAGAUUUCAAGCUGCUCCAGUCCAGUAGUACCCCAACACUCGAAGCUAGAGUUUAUUGGGUGAAAAACCGUGCAUGAGGUCGAGCGCAAGAAUAAGAGCUCGUCAAGGAGUCACUAAUCUGUAGCAAAGCUUUGCUAUCAGGUGGGCAUUACUUUCAUAUAUAUCAAAUGAGUUUAAAUGUUACGUUCAAGCAAGUUAUUUCAUGACUAAAUUAAUUGAAGUUAUUUCAAAUAUUGUCUUGCCAUAAAAUGUUUAAAUUUCAGUAUGAUAUCUAUCUGAUGUGACUUUAAUCAUGUAAUCGAAUUCGGGUCUUGAGCAGUUGAUAGCUAUCCUGCCAGGGCUAGUGUACACCAGUGACCGUGAGUCAUCUAGCGGGUUGGCCGGUCAAGUGACCGUGAGAGGUGGCCACCUCUCCGGCACAAAGUUCCAGAUAUGAUAGAUUACAAGAGAACUUAGUCUGCAGACGAACUUUAAGAAUCACAAAUGAAUUUAGUAAGCUUGGGCCUUUUAGCGAAAAACUCCCUUGCUGUACUGUUUAUGAUGGCAUGACAAUUUACAGUUUUGAAGCAUGUAUUUUUAUAAUUAGGCAUACGUGUCCACUGAGUACUUUUGUACUCAAGCCCUGCAUAUAUUUCUAAAUGUGCAGGUUGAGCAGCUGCCGAUGGUGAUGAAGUGACGAGCGGGAUUCUUUUGUCUUAUUAUGUAUUAAUGAACUCUAGGGUUACAUGUCUUCAUACAUGUAAUCAGAACCUUAUUCCGCUGCGUACUCAGAAGUUUUAUGUUAUUUUGGAUAAGUCGGAGUUAUCCGAACUUGUUAGUUAUUUGAGUCUAUACGACAAAAACUCUGUUAUAUUAUAGAUAUCCAUGUUGUUAACAAUGAUGAAAUACGAUCCUUUCUUGUUUGAUUA